RNAcentral lists this transfer RNA (72 nucleotides) under Verrucomicrobiales bacterium. RNAcentral describes it as "tRNA-Thr". It matches the Rfam family "tRNA". From Rfam's summary of the family: Transfer RNA (tRNA) molecules are approximately 80 nucleotides in length. Their secondary structure includes four short double-helical elements and three loops (D, anti-codon, and T loops). Further hydrogen bonds mediate the characteristic L-shaped molecular structure. tRNAs have two regions of fundamental functional importance: the anti-codon, which is responsible for specific mRNA codon recognition, and the 3' end, to which the tRNAs corresponding amino acid is attached (by aminoacyl-tRNA synthetases). tRNAs cope with the degeneracy of the genetic code in two manners: having more than one tRNA (with a specific anti-codon) for a particular amino acid; and 'wobble' base-pairing, i.e. permitting non-standard base-pairing at the 3rd anti-codon position. The record is from RNAcentral. Lineage: Bacteria; Pseudomonadati; Verrucomicrobiota; Verrucomicrobiia; Verrucomicrobiales.
GCCGGCUUAGCACAGUGGUAGUGCAUCUGAUUUGUAAUCAGAGGGUCAUCGGUUCAAUCCCGAUAGCCGGCU